UACGGAGGGAGCUAGCGUUAUUCGGAAUUACUGGGCGUAAAGCGCACGUAGGCGGCUUUGUAAGUUAGAGGUGAAAGCCUGGAGCUCAACUCCAGAAUUGCCUUUAAGACUGCAUCGCUUGAAUCCAGGAGAGGUGAGUGGAAUUCCGAGUGUAGAGGUGAAAUUCGUAGAUAUUCGCAAGAACACCAGUGGCGAAGGCGGCUCACUGGUCCGGUACUGACGCUGAGGUGCGAAAGCGUGGGGAGCAAACAGG
This 253-nucleotide ribosomal RNA is filed under the name uncultured bacterium. RNAcentral's name for it is "partial 16S ribosomal RNA". It matches the Rfam family "Bacterial small subunit ribosomal RNA", at positions 524 to 776 of the family's 1533-position model. The record is from RNAcentral.